GACGUAGGGCGCGAGCGUUGUCCGGAUUUAUUGGGCGUAAAGAGCUCGUAGGCGGCUUGUUGCGUCGGCUGUGAAAACCCGUGGCUUAACUGCGGGCUUGCAGCCGAUACGGGCGGGCUAGAGUUCGGUAGGGGAGACUGGAAUUCCUGGUGUAGCGGUGAAAUGCGUAGAUAUCUGGAAGAACACCAGUGGCGAAGGCGGUCAACUGGCCCGUAACUGACGCUCAGGCACGAAAGCGUGGGUAGCGAACAGG
RNAcentral lists this ribosomal RNA (253 nucleotides) under uncultured bacterium. Its description in RNAcentral is "partial 16S ribosomal RNA". It matches the Rfam family "Bacterial small subunit ribosomal RNA", at positions 524 to 776 of the family's 1533-position model. The record is from RNAcentral.